ACAGCAGUAGCCGCGGGAAUACGUAGGUGGCGAGCGUUGUCCGGAAUUAUUGGGCGUAAAGGGAGCGCAGGCGGGCGAGUAAGUCUUUCUUAAAAGUGCGGGGCUCAACCCCGUGAGGGGAGAGAAACUACUCAUCUUGAGUGCAGGAGAGGAAAGCGGAAUUCCUAGUGUAGCGGUGAAAUGCGUAGAUAUUAGGAAGAACACCAGUGGCGAAGGCGGCUUUCUGGACUGUAACUGACGCUGAGGCUCGAAAGCCAGGGGAGCGAACGGGAUUAGAUACCCCCGUAGUCCCUGUCUCUUAUACA
RNAcentral lists this ribosomal RNA (305 nucleotides) under uncultured bacterium. RNAcentral's name for it is "partial 16S ribosomal RNA". It matches the Rfam family "Bacterial small subunit ribosomal RNA", at positions 506 to 809 of the family's 1533-position model. The record is from RNAcentral.